AUACGUAGGGUGCGAGCGUUAAUCGGAAUUACUGGGCGUAAAGCGUGCGCAGGCGGUUGUGUAAGACAGGUGUGAAAUCCCCGGGCUUAACCUGGGAACUGCGCUUGUGACUGCACGGCUAGAGUACGGCAGAGGGGGGUGGAAUUCCUGGUGUAGCAGUGAAAUGCGUAGAUAUCAGGAGGAACACCGAUGGCGAAGGCAGCCCCCUGGGCCGAUACUGACGCUCAUGCACGAAAGCGUGGGUAGC
This 247-nucleotide ribosomal RNA is filed under the name uncultured bacterium. RNAcentral's name for it is "partial 16S ribosomal RNA". It matches the Rfam family "Bacterial small subunit ribosomal RNA", at positions 523 to 769 of the family's 1533-position model. The record is from RNAcentral.